UGUUAUAUAAAUCUGCAGCUGCCCAUUCCUUUGAUGACAUGCCACACACUGAUCUUCCUAAUGGAGCCUAUUACAGUGGAACAGGGAAAUUGUGUUCCAAAGGCAUGAGGAUGGCAGUCCCUGAUGCGGAAUUCCAGUGAAAUUCCAGAG
Long non-coding RNA from Paramormyrops kingsleyae, 150 nucleotides. RefSeq lists it as uncharacterized. Lineage: Eukaryota; Metazoa; Chordata; Actinopteri; Osteoglossiformes; Mormyridae. The record is from RefSeq and is a predicted model, not a curated record.